CUACGGGUGGCUGCAGUGAGGAAUAUUGCACAAUGGGGGGAACCCUGAUGCAGCAACGCCGCGUGGAGGAUGACGCAUUUCGGUGUGUAAACUCCUUUUAUAUGUCAAGAAGAUGACGGUAGCAUAUGAAUAAGCACCGGCUAGCUCCGUGCCAGCAGCCGCGGUAAUACGGAGGGUGCAAGCGUUACUCGGAAUCACUGGGCGUAAAGGACGCGUAGGCGGGUUGGGAAGUCAGGUGUGAAAUCCUACAGCUUAACUGUAGAACUGCACUUGAAACUUCUAAUCUAGAGUAUGGGAGGGGGAGAUGGAAUUAGUGGUGUAGGGGUAAAAUCCGUAGAUAUCACUAGGAAUACCUAAAGCGAAGGCGAUCUCCUGGAACAUUACUGACGCUAAGGCGUGAAAGCGUGGGGAGCAAACAGGAUUAGAUACCCGUGUAGUC
Molecule: ribosomal RNA, 439 nt
Filed under: uncultured bacterium
Lineage: Bacteria
Description: partial 16S ribosomal RNA
Rfam family: Bacterial small subunit ribosomal RNA
Source: RNAcentral